This 506-nucleotide ribosomal RNA is filed under the name uncultured bacterium. Its description in RNAcentral is "partial 16S ribosomal RNA". It matches the Rfam family "Bacterial small subunit ribosomal RNA", at positions 29 to 523 of the family's 1533-position model. The record is from RNAcentral.
AGCGAACGCUGGCGGUAGGCCUAACACAUGCAAGUCGAACGGCAGCACAGAGGAGCUUGCUCCUUGGGUGGCGAGUGGCGGACGGGUGAGGAAUACAUCGGAAUCUACUCUGUCGUGGGGGAUAACGUAGGGAAACUUACGCUAAUACCGCAUACGACCUACGGGUGAAAGCAGGGGAUCUUCGGACCUUGCGCGAUUGAAUGAGCCGAUGUCGGAUUAGCUAGUUGGCGGGGUAAAGGCCCACCAAGGCGACGAUCUGUAGCUGGUCUGAGAGGAUGAUCAGCCACACUGGAACUGAGACACGGUCCAGAAUCCUACGGGAGGCAGCAGUGGGGAAUAUUGGACAAUGGGCGCAAGCCUGACCCAGCCAUACCGCGUGGGUGAAGAAGGCCUUCGGGUUGUAAAGCCCUUUUGUUGGGAAAGAAAUCCAUCUGGUUAAUACCCGGGUGGGAUGACGGUACCCAAAGAAUAAGCACCGGCUAACUUCGUGCCAGCCGCCGCCGUAA